AUCCCUGUAGCUCAGUCGGUCAGAGCACUCCCCUCAUAAGGGAAAGGCCACUGGUUCAAGUCCAGUCAGGGAUAC
RNAcentral lists this transfer RNA (75 nucleotides) under Streptomyces phage Frankenweenie. Its description in RNAcentral is "tRNA-Met". It matches the Rfam family "tRNA". From Rfam's summary of the family: Transfer RNA (tRNA) molecules are approximately 80 nucleotides in length. Their secondary structure includes four short double-helical elements and three loops (D, anti-codon, and T loops). Lineage: Duplodnaviria; Heunggongvirae; Uroviricota; Caudoviricetes. The record is from RNAcentral.